This 203-nucleotide unclassified non-coding RNA is filed under the name Hevea brasiliensis (rubber tree). The record is from RNAcentral. Lineage: Eukaryota; Viridiplantae; Streptophyta; Magnoliopsida; Malpighiales; Euphorbiaceae.
GAAUUACCAGAAGAUGUAUGCAAUGGGGGUUUUGCAAUCAAAGGACCCACUAAAAUCAUUUUCAAGCAAUAGCAAAUCUUCAUCUCCAUCAAUCAUCUCUCUUCUCUCACACAACCUAAGGCUAUACAGACAAAAGAUAUGUCAAGUGGACCCAAUGAAAGACUUCAUAAGAGAAGUUCAUUGUGAUUUGGAGAUGGUAUAUG